Molecule: ribosomal RNA, 135 nt
Filed under: Bacillus anthracis (anthrax bacterium)
Lineage: Bacteria; Bacillati; Bacillota; Bacilli; Caryophanales; Bacillaceae
Description: partial 16S ribosomal RNA
Rfam family: Bacterial small subunit ribosomal RNA
Source: RNAcentral
CUUUAUUGGAGAGUUUGAUCCUGGCUCAGGAUGAACGCUGGCGGCGUGCCUAAUACAUGCAAGUCGAGCGAAUGGAUUAAGAGCUUGCUCUUAUGAAGUUAGCGGCGGACGGGUGAGUAACACGUGGGUAACCUG